This 1090-nucleotide long non-coding RNA is filed under the name Capra hircus (goat). Its description in RNAcentral is "lncRNA (ENSCHIG00010015813.1)". Lineage: Eukaryota; Metazoa; Chordata; Mammalia; Artiodactyla; Bovidae. The record is from RNAcentral.
CCGCCCUGAGCGCCGUUGAGUCCGAAAGCCUCGCUCCGCGCCCCCCGGUUCUCCUCCCUCCGCGCCCGGCCGCGAGGCUGUAAACAUGCUUCUCCUGCUGCGUCGCGCUUGCUCGCCGUGUUACUGACCCGGCUGUUUCCGUGAAGCCGGUGUUUUUGUUGUGCGUGUGCGGCUGGCUGGCCACGUGCGGCAGUUGAGCUGCUGGAAUGCGAGUCCCUCACAGGAUGGGCUGUGAGCGCAGAGGAGAGGUCAGCGAUCUGUAACCCAGGACAACUUGCUAAACCUCUUCUCCACGUCUUGGCUUCCUCUUUGGUCUUUGAGGGACUCCUACACGUGUUCAGGACUCCUGAGAAGUGAACGGUCAGCUGUGGACCCAAGCAGGGUGGCGUUAGUGGGCGUCCAGAGGGCCCAGCUGAGUCGGCCUGCAGGGCGUCAUCCGUGCUCAGACCUGCGGUUGCAGUCCUGGCUUAGAGCUCUUCGUGGCUGGCGGCUUCCGAAGAAGUCAGCCUCACUCUUGUAAUGUCUUUUUAUAAGUGCUUUUAAGCAUUUAUAUAAAUGUACAAUUUGAUGGGUUUUGACAUAUGUAUUCACGCAAGAAAUUAUCACCAAAGUACUGAAAAUACCCCUCAUGCCCCACAGCUUUCUCUUCUGCCUUUAGAAUGAGCUUUUCACCCCUUGCCCCCAGGCGUCCACUGAUUUCUGUUACGAUACUUGGGUUUGCAUUUUGUGGGGUUUUAUGUAAGCAGCAUUGUACAGCAUGUCCUCUUUUUGUCUGACUUCUCAAGUUUCCUUAGCAUGAUCAUUGGAAGAUUCAGCCUUACACGUGUCACUGGUUAAUUAGUGUUGAGUGGCAUUCCGUUGUAUGGGUGGGCCACAUCAUCUUAUCCAUUCACCUGCUGGAUAAAUUCACCUAUCUGUGCUAUUUUAAUUCGCUUACACUGUGUCCCCCAGCAGCUUGAGGAGGGGGAGAGGAACUGGGUUGGAUUUACAGGGUGUGUGCUGCACGAGGGGGGCAGGAGCUGCUGGUUCCAAGGACGAGGGCGGCCGAGCUCCGUCCCAGGUGUUAUGGGCACUCUUCUUCAGCCUUCUC